CGAUCCGCGGUACGCGAUGCUUGGCCUGGUUGCAGGCGAGUGCAUGCACGAGCCUGGCGGUUGUGAGCACUGCGGAGCGACUGGUUAUCGCGGUCGCGUCGGCGUCUUCGAAAUCCUGAAUGUCACCGAGGAUAUCCGCCAUCUGGUCGAUAGGCAGUUCGGUUCAACCGCGAUCGACAAGGCUGCUAUCAAAGCCGGCAUGACGACCAUGAUCGACGACGGCGUUGCCAAGUGCCGCGCUGGCGUCA
This 248-nucleotide unclassified non-coding RNA is filed under the name Hevea brasiliensis (rubber tree). The record is from RNAcentral. Lineage: Eukaryota; Viridiplantae; Streptophyta; Magnoliopsida; Malpighiales; Euphorbiaceae.